Non-coding RNA from Desulfosporosinus orientis DSM 765, 92 nucleotides. Lineage: Bacteria; Bacillati; Bacillota; Clostridia; Eubacteriales; Desulfitobacteriaceae. The record is from Rfam.
UCCACCGUGAGGUGGAAUCUGAAGGAAGCGUGAUGAGCAAAAUUCCGGCCUGAGGAACACUGGGGCCGGCUAUUCAAAUAAUGGGUAGCCUC